GAGGGUAUAGCUCCAUGGUAAAAUGUGUGCCUAGCAUGCAGGAGAUCCUGGGUUCAAUCCCCAGUACCUCCA
RNAcentral lists this transfer RNA (72 nucleotides) under Camelus dromedarius (Arabian camel). It matches the Rfam family "tRNA". Rfam says of the family: Transfer RNA (tRNA) molecules are approximately 80 nucleotides in length. Their secondary structure includes four short double-helical elements and three loops (D, anti-codon, and T loops). Further hydrogen bonds mediate the characteristic L-shaped molecular structure. tRNAs have two regions of fundamental functional importance: the anti-codon, which is responsible for specific mRNA codon recognition, and the 3' end, to which the tRNAs corresponding amino acid is attached (by aminoacyl-tRNA synthetases). tRNAs cope with the degeneracy of the genetic code in two manners: having more than one tRNA (with a specific anti-codon) for a particular amino acid; and 'wobble' base-pairing, i.e. permitting non-standard base-pairing at the 3rd anti-codon position. The record is from Rfam by way of RNAcentral. Lineage: Eukaryota; Metazoa; Chordata; Mammalia; Artiodactyla; Camelidae. RNAcentral also lists the same sequence under 1 other name.